GCUUUCUUAGUGCAUUAGGCAGCACUUCUGUCUCAUAAGCUGAAGUUCCUGAGUUCCAUCCUCAGAAGGGGGA
This 73-nucleotide transfer RNA is filed under the name Monodelphis domestica (gray short-tailed opossum). It matches the Rfam family "tRNA". Rfam says of the family: Transfer RNA (tRNA) molecules are approximately 80 nucleotides in length. Their secondary structure includes four short double-helical elements and three loops (D, anti-codon, and T loops). Further hydrogen bonds mediate the characteristic L-shaped molecular structure. tRNAs have two regions of fundamental functional importance: the anti-codon, which is responsible for specific mRNA codon recognition, and the 3' end, to which the tRNAs corresponding amino acid is attached (by aminoacyl-tRNA synthetases). tRNAs cope with the degeneracy of the genetic code in two manners: having more than one tRNA (with a specific anti-codon) for a particular amino acid; and 'wobble' base-pairing, i.e. permitting non-standard base-pairing at the 3rd anti-codon position. The record is from Rfam by way of RNAcentral. Lineage: Eukaryota; Metazoa; Chordata; Mammalia; Didelphimorphia; Didelphidae.